Molecule: long non-coding RNA, 348 nt
Organism: Aedes aegypti (yellow fever mosquito)
Lineage: Eukaryota; Metazoa; Arthropoda; Insecta; Diptera; Culicidae
Exons: 2
Source: RefSeq, a predicted model, not a curated record
CCCAGGUCUCCUGUCAAUUGACGCCGUUUCGGCGAUCAGCUGUUCCGAAACGUCUCGUAAAAUGGCUCAUAGUAUUUAAUUGCUGUCGAGUGACAAAAUGUUUGGCCUUAACCGCCUUAACACAUUCGCUUUUGAACUUGACAGUUAUGUACCCACCAGAUGCAAGGAUGGUUCGUGGAACAGCUUGCUGUGGAAACUGAUGAUUCUGGAUUCGAUUCGAUGAUUCUGGAUUUGUUAUAACUGGAGUUAAAAGAUUGGGACACAUUUUGCACAGUUUGCGACCUUAAACAAACGGCUAUUAAAUAAUAUUGAAGAUAUUUCAGAAUAAAAGAUAUUAUACUUACGGAA